GUUCCGGUUUGAGAUUUCGGGGUGGACGGUAAACAUGGACAUUGACAACGAUAGUACAGAAGGUGUGGAGAAUAUUCAAAAUGUAAACGCUUUUAACGAUCAGAUGCCUUUGUAUCCUGACGAUUACUACGAGAAAAAAACGAGAUGUAAGAAGAUAAUAUUUUUUGGAAUAGUGGGAAUAAUGGUUGCGAUAACCAUUAUCAUAUCCCUGAGUCGGGGAGCUUCAACACAUGUUUCUUAUGUGUUGUUAGGAUUUAGCAUUUUCUGUAUAACACUUGUGGAAAUUGCUCUUUGGUGGCUGCAUCGAGGGAAACAACUUGAUAAUGAAAAAGAAUGGUUCAUUUAUUUUGUUGGAGUUUGCAUUAUCAUAGAAGCAAUUUUCACAGAUGUUUUGCUGUUUGAUAAAAGUGGAUAAUGGUUUCAUGUGGUAUCCUUAGUUUUCAUUAAUAAAACACUCAGUUUUUCUCAGAAUUUUUGAACAGACGGAUUGAAUUUUUCAAUGUGGAUAUUAGAUAUGUCAGCAUCUCCAUCCCAAGGAAUAACAUCUCCAAAUUUCAUUGCCCCAAGCAAUGUUCCUAUUAAUAUAAAGAUUGAAUCAAAUAAAAGUGAAGGAUAAGUGAAGGUGGACAGCAAGAUCGAAGCUCAGCAAGAUUGAAGAUUGUUCGAGGAAGAAGGAGUUCGCCGUUGACUAAAAGGUUUAUCUGAACAGCUAGUUGUCAAGAUGAAUGCGAAGACUCGCCCGGCCAAAUUCAAAAUGGCGAUGCCAAAGAAAACCAUCCACCUGGACCGUUCGCGGACCUUUCUGAGCAAGAUUGUUGGGCUGUCUGGUCAAAGUUAAGUAUUUUAUAUUGAUGUUUGUGUGCCUUCGGCUAAUUGUUGGCCAGAAAUGACAAAAAGCCAUAUACAAUAUGAAAUAUUCUGCGUACAAGGUUAUCUAAAGUUUCGAGCUUAAUUCUGCCUGCAAUGAUGAUAAUUUUUUACUGAAAAUUUAUGUCAUGAGCAACUUCCGCACCUAUAGACUGAAGCAGAACUGAACAUUUUGUAAUUAACGUUUAUC
Molecule: RNA transcript, 1057 nt
Organism: Dendronephthya gigantea
Lineage: Eukaryota; Metazoa; Cnidaria; Anthozoa; Malacalcyonacea; Nephtheidae
Exons: 7
Source: RefSeq, a predicted model, not a curated record